This 253-nucleotide ribosomal RNA is filed under the name uncultured bacterium. RNAcentral's name for it is "partial 16S ribosomal RNA". It matches the Rfam family "Bacterial small subunit ribosomal RNA", at positions 524 to 776 of the family's 1533-position model. The record is from RNAcentral.
UACGUAGGGGGCAAGCGUUGUCCGGAAUCAUUGGGCGUAAAGCGCGUGUAGGCGGCUUGUCACGUCGGGUGUGAAAGCCCGGGGCUUAACCCCGGGUCUGCAUUCGAUACGGGCUAGCUAGAGUGUGGUAGGGGAGAUCGGGAUUCCUGGUGUAGCGGUGAAAUGCGCAGAUAUCAGGAAGAACACCCGUGGCGAAAGCGGCUCUCUGGAACGGUACUGACGCUGAGACGCGAAAGCGUGGGGAGCGAACAGG